UGGGGAAUCUUGCGCAAUGGCCGAAAGGCUGACGCAGCGACGCCGCGUGGAGGAUGACGCCCUUCGGGGUGUAAACUCCUGUUGCCCGGGACGAAUGCCCCUUUCGAGGGGAGUGACGGUACCGGGUGAGGAAGCACCGGCUAACUCUGUGCCAGCAGCCGCGGUAAUACAGAGGGUGCGAGCGUUGUCCGGAAUCACUGGGCGUAAAGGGCGCGUAGGCGGCUCGGUAAGCGUGUGGUGAAAGCCCGGGGCUCAACCCCGGGUCGGCCAUGCGAACUGUCGAGCUGGAGCACGGUAGAGGCACAUGGAAUUCCGGGUGUAGCGGUGGAAUGCGUAGAGAUCCGGAAGAACACCGGUGGCGAAGGCGGUGUGCUGGGCCGUAGCUGACGCUGAGGCGCGACAGCGUGGGGAGCAAACAGG
Molecule: ribosomal RNA, 420 nt
Filed under: uncultured bacterium
Lineage: Bacteria
Description: bacterial SSU rRNA
Rfam family: Bacterial small subunit ribosomal RNA
Source: RNAcentral